This 252-nucleotide ribosomal RNA is filed under the name uncultured bacterium. RNAcentral describes it as "partial 16S ribosomal RNA". It matches the Rfam family "Bacterial small subunit ribosomal RNA", at positions 524 to 776 of the family's 1533-position model. The record is from RNAcentral.
UACGUAGGGUGCGAGCGUUAAUCGGAAUUACUGGGCGUAAAGCGUGCGCAGGCGGUUUUGUAAGCCAGAUGUGAAAUCCCCGGGCUUAACCUGGGAAUGGCAUUUGGGACUGCAAGGCUUGGAGUGCGGGCAGAGGGGGAUGGAAUCCGCGUGUAGCAUGAAUGCGUAGAUAUGCGGAGGAACACCGAUGGCGAAGGCAAUCCCCUGGGCCUGCACUGACGCUCAUGCACGAAAGCGUGGGGAGCAAACAGG